AUUAUUCACUACAAAAUAUAAAUACAAUAUGAACUCAGUAUUACAUAGUUAUUUGAACAUAAGUAAAACCAUUAAAUCACGUCUAUGCUCUACGUCUUAAAACAUAUUUGAUGAAGUGCUAUGUAUUACGUACUCGUAUAUCACGUAUCAAAGAGAGUUUUAGGACUUACAUAUAACCGUAAUGUGUACAAAACUAUAAUACUCUCCUUAGCAACUUUGUUGCGAGAGUAUAAAAAUGCAUGCAUUUGUGAAGAGCACUUCUCGCCAGAAGCCUUCGAAAGAAACUUGCAGUUUGAAAUGGUCACAACGAAGGAGCGAUCACAGAAGAAGGAAAUGUUGAAGUCGACAACACACCAGAUUUGGAAGGGAAUUACUUAUCUCUAACCGGUAAUAUUUUUCAACGAGUGUCAGUUGAUCUAAAUUCCACUGACCCAAUUGAAAAAAAAUGAUGACUUGGAGAUUCUGAACAACGACGGAGUCUGCCACAAACUCGGUAAAGACAACCCCGAAAUUUGUGUCAAUUCAGAAAAUUGUUCGUCUUAUAAUUGGGUGGAUCACCUUUCUUAAGGAAGACUCUCAAAACCGAUGUAAAUGGUACUGAUUUGCAUAUAGUACAGUAUGUAACACAAUUGAGCAAAUAAAAUCAAAUAUUCCUGAUUUCAAAACUUUUUUGCACUACUCAACUUAUUACGAAAAGAAUAUAUACAUAUGCAUGCGAAUAGGUACACUAGUUGAGUUUUUUUCGCGGAAAUAUAACGGUACAAUUUCUCGAUAUUUUUCUGGCGGCGUCUGGUUUGCGCCACGUGCACAUUUGCUCAAUUGUGUAACAACAUCGGUUGCGUUCAGGCGUGUGAGCAUAGCUAAGACCAAAUAAACAACUUUCGAGUAUUUUAAAUACCAGUAGCAAGAUUUAUCAAUUAACUAACGUUUUCAGAAGUACUUUUCAUUUUAUAAACGAAAAAUUAAGAAAAUUGCUGAUUCUAUUAAAAAAUCUGUGCUUCAAUGGUUGAGUGAUGGGCUCUAAUAUCGGCAAGUUGCAAAUUGAGCUGAAAUUUCAUUUGGGUCAGUGAAAAAUAUUCAGUUCCAAAACAUCGAUCCGGUCGGCGCUCCGUUUUAGAUAACCACGAUAGACGAACAAUCAACCGUCUGGUUUCCUCUGGAGCAGUGAAAUCAGGUACUGAGAUUCAAGAAGAACUGGAGAGGACUUACGGAAAACAAGUUUCUCGCAUGACUGUACACCGCGAGUUGAAAAAACUAGGGUUUAAAGCCAGGCGCAAAAUUAAAAAACCUUUGCUUACUAAACGUCAUCAAGAACUACGUCUAAAAUUUGCUAAAGCGUACCGAAACUGGACUCCAGAAUAGUGGACGAAUAUAUUUUGAACAGAAGAAAGCAAGAUUAAUCUUCACGGGUCAGGCGGAAUACAUUACGUUUGGAAGAAAUCAUCAAAGACUAUUACCAGCCACGAUGUUAUCCCAACACUCAAAUUUGGGGGCGGAAAAAUCCUUUUUUGGGGUGGCUUUUGUAAAAGUGGUGGUGGGGACCUAAUUUUAAUCUAGUAAAAUAUGGACGCGAAUAUGUAUAUAUGUAGAUAUAUUAAGGCAAGAGUAUUUUUCUUCGUUGGAGAAUAAAUUUGUUACUCUUUUGUUGUUUUAUAUUAUAAAGGGCUGAAGAAUGUAUUUGAAAAAAUUGUAAUUCAAGUCGCCCAAAUUAAAUACACUUUUUUUUGUAAGAAUCGACAUUCGUGAUUUUAUUUGCUCAAUUGUGUUACAUACUGUAUGCACAAAUUACGUCCAGAAACACUUAGAUUUAAGUAAUUUUGUAAAUUGAUAGAUUUAAGUAAUUUUGUAAAUUGUAGCACCAAAGUAAAAAUCCCCA
Molecule: long non-coding RNA, 1876 nt
Filed under: Bactrocera tryoni
Lineage: Eukaryota; Metazoa; Arthropoda; Insecta; Diptera; Tephritidae
Description: uncharacterized LOC120780529, transcript variant X1
Source: RNAcentral